AAUUACUGGGCGUAAAGCGAGCGUAGGUGGCUUGAUAAGUCAGAUGUGAAAUCCCCGGGCUUAACCUGGGAACUGCAUCUGAUACUGUUAGGCUAGAAUAGGUGAGAGGAAGGUAGAAUUCCAGGUGUAGCGGUGAAAUGCGUAGAGAUCUGGAGGAAUACCGAUGGCGAAGGCAGCCUUCUGGCAUCAUAUUGACACUGAGGUUCGAAAGCGUGGGUAGCAAACAGGAUUAGAUACCCUGGUAGUCCACGCCGUAAACGAUGUCUACUAGUCGUUGGGUCCCUUGAGGACUUAGUGACGCAGCUAACGCAAUAAGUAGACCGCCUGGGGAGUACGGCCGCAAGGUUAAAACUCAAAUGAAUUGACGGGGGCCCGCACAAGCGGUGGAGCAUGUGGUUUAAUUCGAUGCAACGCGAAGAACCUUACCUGGUCUUGACAUAUC
RNAcentral lists this ribosomal RNA (442 nucleotides) under uncultured bacterium. Its description in RNAcentral is "bacterial SSU rRNA". It matches the Rfam family "Bacterial small subunit ribosomal RNA", at positions 549 to 990 of the family's 1533-position model. The record is from RNAcentral.